CUGGAAGCUGGCCAACUUAGAGUGUGGACUUUGCACUGUGAGCUCUCAGGGAAGGUAUGAGGUAGGGCAGUGAUUCCUGAUUGUGACUAUGCAUCAGAACCCCCUGGCGGGCUUGUUCCAACCUAGGUAGACCCAUGCUGUGUGGUCCCACCCCAGAGUUUGUGAUUCAAUAACUCCUGGGUAGAGCCUGAGAUUUUGCAUUUCUAACAGGCUCCCAGGUAAUGUGGACCACACUUUGAGCAGUCCUGAUGAAGAGGAUGAAUCUGGAGCCUCACAGGGCAGCCUUAGAGCCCAUCUGCUCCAGGAUGGAGCCCUACUGGGAAACCUCAGUGUUUCCAUCCUGUACGUGCUGGAUCCCAGCCCUUGGUCACAAGCUCUGAGUGUGAAUAAUGCUAAUCCACAAGAGGGCCACCAAUGCACUCACUGUGCAUCCAUCGGGAUGGAUGGAAUCAGCUACACAGUCUGUAAUUCUUAGUGUUAUAGUUUGCUUUCCUUCAGCUCUUUGAGGGUUGUGUAAACUGCAGUUCUCAACCUUUGUAUGUUUGAGAAAUUUUGAAGUCUUUGUGGUUUUAUUCUUCUCCUUGUUAUUUUUAUACUAGGAAAGUAUUUUGGAUUUACAGAGGAGUUGUAAAAAUGGUACAGAGAGUUCACGCACUUCCCUCAAUGUUACAUUAAAGCUUCAUAAUCAGGGCACAUUCAUCAAAGCUAAGAAACUGACAUUGGCAACCACUGGCUUUAUUCAGAUUUCACCAGUUUUCCCACUAAUGUCCUCUUCCUUUCCAGGAUCCCAUCUAAGAUCCUGCAUUAACAUCUUUCUCUAGUCUCUGCCAUUCUGUGACAGUUUCUCAGUCUUUCCUUGUUUUUCCAUGACUUUGAAUUUUGAAGAGCACUUAGCAAGUAUUUUGUAGAAUAUCCCCAAGAUUUUGUCAUGUUUUUCAAGAUUAGACUGGGAUUAUGGAUUUGGGGGAAGAAUACCCAAGAGGUGAGGUGGGAUAUGUGAUAUUAACAUGCCUUCCUUGUUGUCAAUCACCCGGUUAAAGUAAUUAGCCUUAACUUGCCAGAUUUCUCAACUGUGAAGUUACUAUUUUUCCACUUUUCAUCCUCUAGAAGCAAGUCACUAAGUCCCGUCCCAGGGAAACUUCCCAGAGGGAGGUGUAUCAAAGAACUUGUGGGCGUCUGUUAAAACCACUAUCGUAAUUAGUAUUUUGAAGAAGAUACUCUGAGGCUAGGGAAAUAUUCUAUUUCUUCUUAAAGUUUUACCCACUCUUUUAGCAUUCAUCAGCGGAUCCUGCCUGUAGCAAUCAUUAAUGUGUUACAGAAAAAAUACUUCUUAGCAUCAUGGUAUCCAUUGUUUCAGAAAAUCCAUAAUAUCAAUAAGAUAUUGUGAAAUCAGUUUUUGUAUUGUUAUAAAUCACAAUAAAAUCUCCAUAGUCAAUAUAGAUUUAAACCUU
Molecule: long non-coding RNA, 1451 nt
Organism: Bos indicus x Bos taurus (hybrid cattle)
Lineage: Eukaryota; Metazoa; Chordata; Mammalia; Artiodactyla; Bovidae
Source: Ensembl